CAGGGUUGAAACUUUUACAGAUGUCCGGUCGCAGUGGCGGAAAAGUCGAAUGAAAACUGCACAGGUCUGGAGAACACUGGUUCUGUGGUUUCCAGGUGCGGAGAACAUUGGUUCUGUGGGUUCCAGGUGUGGAGAAGACUAGUACUGUGAGUCCAGGUGUGGAGAACAUGGGCGGUGUUCCUCAGGGACUGGCAGCGGCAUCUGUUGACUUACUGCUCUGCCAGACUGCCAGCCAGCCUGCUCUCUGACAACGCUCACCUACACCACUCUGCCAACCACAGCUAUCCUGCUACAUCUACCCAGAUGCUACAGUCUCCAGAUUCCCCCAUGAAACACAUCCUGGAGGAGAGGUUAAUUAGUAGAGAAAUAAAUGCCCUGCUUCUAAAAAGUCUCACCUGCACAGUCUCACUAUGCCUCAUCCCUUCAUGUACAUUGUUACAUACAGUAGUGUUAUUGUUAUGCCAGACAGUGAAUUUGUGGUAUUUUGUCUUCAAAACAUUUAGCUUGGAGCAAUGUAACGGCAGGAUGACGAACUGCAUGGUGUUGAAAAUAACAUGUUUUUGGGAAGGUGUUGUUGACGUUCAACAAAACCCCCGAAUGGAUUCAUCAUAAUACCUCAAAUAUACAAUACAGUUGAAGGUUUUAACUCUGUUUUCAUAUCCCUGCCUGUUGAAUUCCCAAUAGGCCUAAAUAAUUUGCUAUUUAGUGGUGCGACUAAUGUGUUAGCCUUACCCGGCUAUGUUUAUAAAGAGCCCAUUGAUGGGGCUCUCAGUUGACCAUGUACUACAAGAGAUUACACACAAGGACAUGUGUCAAAGGGGGCUGUAGAUCCCACACUAUGAAUUGGGGCUCACAUUUGCCUGCAGCCUUAUCUCUCCCUCUCCCGUUUGGAGGCUUGUGAUAAGGAGUGCCUUGGGAGCCCCCAUUAUGAAAACCUAUCCGGCCACACAGCAAUUGACUGUCAGAGAGGAACAGAACAGGGGCUUUUCACAGUGUUCACAUUAGAGACUGAUUCCCCUCUUUAUGUUGUAACUUUUCCCCUGUUUCUUCCCAUUUAUGCUUGAAUAAAAACUUUGUGUGGCCUAGA
Molecule: long non-coding RNA, 1087 nt
Organism: Coregonus clupeaformis (lake whitefish)
Lineage: Eukaryota; Metazoa; Chordata; Actinopteri; Salmoniformes; Salmonidae
Exons: 2
Source: RefSeq, a predicted model, not a curated record